This 72-nucleotide transfer RNA is filed under the name Camelus bactrianus (Bactrian camel). It matches the Rfam family "tRNA". From Rfam's summary of the family: Transfer RNA (tRNA) molecules are approximately 80 nucleotides in length. Their secondary structure includes four short double-helical elements and three loops (D, anti-codon, and T loops). RNAcentral also lists the same sequence under 1 other name. Lineage: Eukaryota; Metazoa; Chordata; Mammalia; Artiodactyla; Camelidae. The record is from Rfam by way of RNAcentral.
GCUGAAAUAGUUCAGUGGGAGAGUUCAUGCUUAGCAUGCAUGAGGUCCUGGGUUCAAUCCCUGGUACCUCCA